ACACAUGCAAGUCGAACGGAGCUGAGAGAAGCUUGCUUUUCUCAGCUUAGUGGCGAACGGGUGAGUAACGCGUGAGUAACCUGCCCUGGAGUGGGGGACAACAGUUGGAAACGACUGCUAAUACCGCAUAAGCCCACGAUCCGGCAUCGGAUUGAGGGAAAAGGAUUUAUUCGCUUCAGGAUGGACUCGCGUCCAAUUAGCUAGUUGGUGAGGUAACGGCCCACCAAGGCGACGAUUGGUAGCCGGACUGAGAGGUUGAACGGCCACAUUGGGACUGAGACACGGCCCAGACUCCUACGGGAGGCAGCAGUGGGGGAUAUUGCACAAUGGGGGAAACCCUGAUGCAGCGACGCCGCGUGGAGGAAGAAGGUUUUCGGAUUGUAAACUCCUGUCGUUAGGGACGAUAAUGACGGUACCUAACAAGAAAGCACCGGCUAACUACGUGCCAGCAGCCGCGGUAAAACGUAGGGUGCAAGCGUUGUCCGGAAUUACUGGGUGUAAAGGGAGCGCAGGCGGACCGGCAAGUUGGAAGUGAAAACUACGGGCUCAACCCAUAAAUUGCUUUCAAAACUGCUGGCCUUGAGUAGUGCAGAGGUAGGUGGAAUUCCCGGUGUAGCGGUGGAAUGCGUAGAUAUCGGGAGGAACACCAGUGGCGAAGGCGACCUACUGGGCACCAACUGACGCUGAGGCUCGAAAGCAUGGGUAGCAAACAGGAUUAGAUACCCUGGUAGUCCAUGCCGUAGACGAUGAUUACUAGGUGUUGGAGGAUUGACCCCUUCAGUGCCGCAGUUAACACAAUAAGUAAUCCACCUGGGG
RNAcentral lists this ribosomal RNA (816 nucleotides) under uncultured bacterium. RNAcentral's name for it is "bacterial SSU rRNA". It matches the Rfam family "Bacterial small subunit ribosomal RNA", at positions 51 to 878 of the family's 1533-position model. The record is from RNAcentral.